UCAUAAGGGUAUAAAGGGUAAUUUCCCUUUUUGAUAUUUUAGGUAAUUUAGAUAAUAUUUGGGUUGCCAGUCUAAUACUACAUUACAUCAUGUUUGGAAUUGGUUUUAUAACCUUAAAAUGUCAAAACAUGGUUAAAAAAUAAGAUGAAGUUUUAUCCUCAUGUAGCCUAAUCAGUCAAUCCAGAGAGCAACUGUAGCUCUCUAUUUCUAUCCUGUCUGGCAUCCAAUUUUAUGUAAAUAAUCAACAGUUUAAUUGAUUUUUUAAAGGUUGUAGAGUUCAUAAGGUUCUGCAAAACAGUAAUAACCCAAUUAUAGAUCCAUUACAAUGGUAAAUCCAAUCCAAAUAUGGAAAAAAGAAUAUACUUAGAGCAAGGAAUAUGUAUAAAUAAGAUGUUCAAUUAUUAAAGUAAACAAACUGUAUCACAUAUUUCAUUCUCUGAUUGAAAGAUUAGAAUGGGUAUCUGACUUUCCAUGUCUCAAACAAACGUGUUAAUAUUUUGGAUAAAAUGUUGAACUCACAAGCUUUAAAGAUGGAAACAUUUGAACAAACUGUACAUUAAUCACUUUCUAUUCAGUUUAUAGUGUUUCUGUGUUGUCAAUAUCACUUUCCAUUCUGUUAGUCUUGUCAUAGGCUAUCCAAAAGUCUGGUAAUUUCCAAAAGACACUGAAAUCAUUCUCAAGAAGCAAACAACAGUAAGUAUUUACAAUGGAUUUCAUGAGUUAUUCUUGAGUUAUUAGUUGGUUUGUCAUUCUACAUCCCAUCCUGUAAUUAGUUCUCAAAAUGUCAAAACUUCCAUUCUUUGAGCAAAUGUGUGCUCUUUAUUUCUAUCCUGUCUGGCAUCCAGUUUUGUGUAAAUAAUCAACUUUUAUUGACUUUUAAAGGUUGCAGAGUUUAUACGGUUCUGCAGAGCAGCAAUGACCCAAAUGGAGAGCCAAUGCAAUGGUAACUUGUUGCACAACUGAUGGCUGUGAGUAAAUGUGAUUUUAAAACCCUCACAUUCCUGUGCGCACGCCAACACAACGUCACGCGCCACUGCAUCCCUUUAACUCUUCCAUAACCUAAAAAAAAAACGCUGGAAUGAGCUUCUGACUUCCCAGCAGUUCUUAGGGAGUUUUUACUGAUUUAAUCAGUAGUGCUCUUGGGAGCCGUGUGUGUCUGGAAUAUCCACGCUGGUAGAUUAUUCACCCGCGCUGGACUUCGUUCAGCCUCGAAGCCUGAUUCAUCCCUGCCAAGAGAACAUGUGAUUCAUGACGGCUGGCAAAAUUAUGGAAAGUCCCUUUGCGGAGACCACGUGGUUCUGCCUUUCCAAAUUUCAGGGUUUUUAUGGUUCAUUUAUGCAUUACCGAAACAGAGUUGGCCUAUAAUUUUGAUUGGCUGCAUGUAGGUCAUAGGUGCAACUCUUCCAAAAUGAAAGCAAACAUUACGAUUAUGUUGCACAGGGAAAUUGGGAAUUAUGUCAACAUUGCAGCAUCACAGUUUUCCCCUCUCUCCGUCUGUCUGAAGGUCUUUCCGUUCAGCACAAAAGACGAGGUGAUUCAGGAGCCGCAGGCACCGACUGGGACUUGUUUUUGCAGGCACUCAUGAGGAAGUAAGAGAGUUAGGCAUGUACCUCACCCAUCCGUGGAAAAACAAACCAAGCCUAAACUGGCAGCAGGCCAGAGAUCUGUGAACACGCUCUGCUGGACGAGUCGCUGCAAUGCCAAAAACACGCUGACAGCGAGUGCAUGUUGCAGAAACAUGAUCACUGCUGCUUUGUGCAUUUCUGUUUUGACAGCAGAAGUUACAGCAGGCGGUCAGGAAGGGAUGCAUGCUGCUAUAAUGUGUCUAAAACCAAGAUAAAAGGAAACUAUGUAAAUGCAUGGGUCAUGUAAAUCUCCUUUCGCGAACAACGCCAAAGGUGUUGCAACACAUAACAUUACGCCUGUCAAUGCACCACCGUGAAUAUACAACAUGCAUUUCAGUUCCACCUAAAAGCACGAGUCAGCAACAGCAGGGAAUGUGAAUGACACGCAGAACAAUGUUAGCCUUUUCUGCAUUUAGAUGGAAUGCAUUGUUCACUGUUAUGGCUUUAAAGUGCAGGAUAAACACUUUCUGCUCGACGUAAUCCUCUCCAGUGACUAACGUGUGAGAUUAGAGCACAUGUUGCUUACUGGCGUUUUCUCUGGGCUUUCUCUUGUCAUCAUGCCAUCAGGUUUUCUAGGUAAACCUCCCCCUCCUAAGGCUCUUAGUUAAGCUGGUUUAGCAGAAUUGGAACAUCCCUCACCUAAGGCCUUGUCUUGAGAAACUCACCUCUAGUUACUCUGAUUGGCCGGCUGAUUUUAUUUCUGUAGUCUUGUCUAUCCGCUCCAUAUUACGCAAUCUAGUGUAUAGGGAUAAUGCGUGUAGACGGGUAGCAGACGUGUGAAGGGAUAAGAUAAGGGUUUAUAGUGACAGAAGUUUACUAGAGCCCACAGAGAACACAGACCCAACUAAUGCACAUGUAAGUGAAAUGAAACCCUAAAAUAAUAAUAAUCAUAGCAUACAGGAAAAAAAUAUGCACUUUUAUAUAUAAGAACUUGUUGUAUUCAUAAUGUCUAAAUCAUUUUGGAUAAAAUAAUCUGCUAAAUAAAUACAGAUGUAAAUAUAUGUUAUACAUACAUGCAUUUAGGUGAUGAAUAUGGUCUUAAAUUCACACUCUAUGAGCUCAAAUUUAAGGGUAUUCUCAUCACAAUUGGAGCAAAGGUUAAAUAAUGUCUGCUCUUUACUAUGCAUCUCCCAUUUUUUUCAAGGGACCAUUAGGAAUUGGAAAACUGACUCAAACGCUGGUCAAUGGACGGAUGUGGCGUAUAUACUAUUCGUUCAUUAUUUCUACAUCAAUUAAGCAGGUAAAAGGUGUAGGGUUGAUUCUGAGUGUGUUGUUUGCUUUUGGAAGCUGUUGCAUCAUGCAGUCAAAGGAUCUCUCCAUACAAGCGAAACCAUUCAGAAACCAAACGAAUCCAUCAGGGAGACAGCAGGAACAUUAGGAGCGGCCAAAUCAACAGUCUGAGCUAAAGAGCACUGGGAACUACUUAAGCAAAAGGAAAGCAGAGCAGAGCAAGAAAACAAUUCGGUGCUCGACAGACUUUAAUAAGCGCCUUCUGAGGUUUCCAGGAAUUGUGGGCAGACGGAUCCAUUGCACAUGUGCUCCUACAGCAGGACCGAGUGCAUGCAGCCCGCUUAAAUACUCACAUGGGAGGAAUUGGACAGAUCCGGACCGGAGAGAUGGGUUAGACUUGGAGGACGAGACGGGUCAGGUGUCUAGACGAUCUGAGAACCGAGACAAAACAGAUACAUGUCCAGUUCUCUUCUUGUGAUUAGAACAUUAAAGGUUACAGAAAUAUU
Long non-coding RNA from Carassius gibelio (silver crucian carp), 3361 nucleotides. RefSeq lists it as uncharacterized. NCBI's taxonomy places the organism in Eukaryota, Metazoa, Chordata, Actinopteri, Cypriniformes, Cyprinidae. The transcript has 2 exons. The record is from RefSeq and is a predicted model, not a curated record.